AUUGAACGCUGGCGGCAGGCCUAACACAUGCAAGUCGAGCGGAUGAAGGGAGCUUGCUCCUGGAUUCAGCGGCGGACGGGUGAGUAAUGCCUAGGAAUCUGCCUGGUAGUGGGGGAUAACGUCCGGAAACGGGCGCUAAUACCGCAUACGUCCUGAGGGAGAAAGUGGGGGAUCUUCGGACCUCACGCUAUCAGAUGAGCCUAGGUCGGAUUAGCUAGUUGGUGGGGUAAAGGCCUACCAAGGCGACGAUCCGUAACUGGUCUGAGAGGAUGAUCAGUCACACUGGAACUGAGACACGGUCCAGACUCCUACGGGAGGCAGCAGUGGGGAAUAUUGGACAAUGGGCGAAAGCCUGAUCCAGCCAUGCCGCGUGUGUGAAGAAGGUCUUCGGAUUGUAAAGCACUUUAAGUUGGGAGGAAGAGCAGUAAGUUAAUACCUUGCUGUUUUGACGGUACCCACAGAAUAAGCACCGGCUAACUUCGUG
This 484-nucleotide ribosomal RNA is filed under the name uncultured bacterium. Its description in RNAcentral is "partial 16S ribosomal RNA". It matches the Rfam family "Bacterial small subunit ribosomal RNA", at positions 30 to 507 of the family's 1533-position model. The record is from RNAcentral.